GGCAAUAGGGGACUACAAAUCUGGUCAGAAAAAUUUCCCUAAGUUGUGACGAGUUGAAUAGAACUUAGAUGUGGCGAAAAGGUGGUUGGAAAUAGACCCAUUGCUCACCGCUCAAUUUCUCCACUAGUGUCGACAUUUCAAGAGUUGUUAUCACCGAUGCUUGUCGACAUUACAAGGUGGUUGGAAAUAAGAGCUGCCUAAGGAUGUUGAGGUCAUUACCAUCAUUGACACUGUUGAUUUUGGCUGGAAGAAACAAAC
Molecule: unclassified non-coding RNA, 258 nt
Filed under: Hevea brasiliensis (rubber tree)
Lineage: Eukaryota; Viridiplantae; Streptophyta; Magnoliopsida; Malpighiales; Euphorbiaceae
Source: RNAcentral